Long non-coding RNA from Columba livia (rock pigeon), 538 nucleotides. RefSeq lists it as uncharacterized. NCBI's taxonomy places the organism in Eukaryota, Metazoa, Chordata, Aves, Columbiformes, Columbidae. The record is from RefSeq and is a predicted model, not a curated record. The transcript has 3 exons.
UCAAUGCAUUGAGAAGGAGGCUCCAGGCCCAGAGGCAGUCACAAAGCACCAGGAGUCUCUUCAUGGUGGGCUCUGAAACUGGAAGAAAAAGAAUCUUUAACAUCCCCUACAUUAAAACAGCUUGCCCUUCUGGAAUAGGAUCUUUUAAAUGUAAUAGUUAAUUCUUCUAGAAGCUGUUCUGACUACAUCAUCUUUCUUUCAAUUGCUCCCACCAACACAGAUUUUUAUGAAAGUAACAGAUGCCAAGUUUAUGUAAAGGCUAAUUUCACUUUUUCCAGAUGACCCACUUAUGGUAUGUACCAGUGUACUACAGUGAUCCCAUAAUCAUCUGGCCAAUGCACAUGUUCAUUCCAUUGUACAGUGUCCUGCAACUCUGUAGUCUGACUGAGAGAACCACAGCUGCCUGACCACACUGCCUACAGCAUUGCUCAAGAGAAGUAUUAUGGGUAACAGUGUAAUGGCUUUCCUUAAAUAUCUUACCAAAUAAACAACUCUCUAGUAAAUCAUAUCCCAAAUUUAAAUAAACAGUAUGAAUAAA